CCCUGGCUACUCCAUUUCCAAUAGCCAUGCGGGGCCCAGAGAAGGAGGAAAAGGACCGCCGGCCGGCGGUGCGGCAGUGUGGAGACCUGCCGUAAACCUGUUCGGGUUCUGCUCCCGGGCGGGAAGGCCUUUUUGCGGAGGCGGGAAGGUCACGGCCAAGGUGUAUGGCA
RNAcentral lists this non-coding RNA (170 nucleotides) under uncultured Lawsonibacter sp. Its description in RNAcentral is "malK-I RNA". It matches the Rfam family "malK-I RNA". The record is from RNAcentral. Lineage: Bacteria; Bacillati; Bacillota; Clostridia; Eubacteriales; Oscillospiraceae.